GCGACAUCCAUAUUAUUUUUUCGAUGUUCGAUUACAUUGGAAUAAAAUGUCUCACAAAUCAUACUUUUUGGGGGUAAAAGAACUCCCCUACCUGCCAUCAGUUGGUUUGACGAAAGAGUAUAUGUACAGUUAUGCAAAGGGGAUUUUAGAUAUGAGCCCAAAAUUGUACAGUACUUAUGCAAGGAGAAAAUUCACAUUAACCAAAUUAAAUUGUACACAUACACAUGCCUUCGUUUGA
RNAcentral lists this long non-coding RNA (238 nucleotides) under Prunus dulcis (almond). RNAcentral's name for it is "sRNA ncRNA". The record is from RNAcentral. Lineage: Eukaryota; Viridiplantae; Streptophyta; Magnoliopsida; Rosales; Rosaceae.